This 429-nucleotide ribosomal RNA is filed under the name uncultured archaeon. RNAcentral describes it as "bacterial SSU rRNA". It matches the Rfam family "Archaeal small subunit ribosomal RNA", at positions 474 to 903 of the family's 1478-position model. The record is from RNAcentral.
UACCAGCUCUCCGAGUGGUAGGGAUGAUUAUUGGGCUUAAAGCGUCCGUAGCCAGCUUAGCAAGUUUCCUGUUAAAUUCAGCGACCUAAUCGUUGAGCCGCGGGAAAUACUACUAGGCUAGGAGGCGGGAGAGGUCAACGGUACUUCCGGGGUAGGGGUGAAAUCCUAUAAUCCCGGGAGGACCACCAGUGGCGAAGGCUGUUGACUAGAACGCGCUCGACGGUGAGGGACAAAAGCUGGGGGAGCGAACCGGAUUAGAUACCCGGGUAGUCCCAGCUGUAAACGAUGCGAGCUAGGUGUUGGGGUGGCUACGUGCCACCUCAGUGCCGCAGGGAAGCCAUUAAGCUCGCCGCCUGGGGAGUACGGCCGCAAGGCUGAAACUUAAAGGAAUUGGCGGGGGAGCACCACAAGGCGUGAAGCUUGCGGUUC